This 69-nucleotide transfer RNA is filed under the name Georgenia satyanarayanai. RNAcentral's name for it is "Georgenia sp. JC82 tRNA". It matches the Rfam family "tRNA". Rfam says of the family: Transfer RNA (tRNA) molecules are approximately 80 nucleotides in length. Their secondary structure includes four short double-helical elements and three loops (D, anti-codon, and T loops). The record is from Rfam by way of RNAcentral. Lineage: Bacteria; Bacillati; Actinomycetota; Actinomycetes; Allobogoriellales; Allobogoriellaceae.
GCGGGGAUAGGUGUCGCCGCCCGUCAGCUUCCCAAGCUGACGGCGCGGGUUCGAUUCCCGUCACCCGCU